CCUCCGUCCCAGGCCAAUAGGCCCAGUUGUUUUCGGCACGGAGAUUAAGAAAGUCACUUUUUGAUAAGUAAAUUGUGUGGUCCACCAACUAUUAAUGUCUUAAGUGUUCUUUUAUUUCCUUAAUCACAUUUGUUCACUUAAACGAAUUCAGCAACAAUCAAAUGCAGCAACAAUCAAGAACAAAAAUUCGUUGAGAAAGAGAACAAAAAUUCCAUUAUUUCAGCAACAAACGAAUUCAGCAACAAUCAAGAACAAAAAUUCCACUAUUUCAUUCUUCAACUUUCAGAACUAAGAAUAAAGAACCCUAAAUCAAGAAUCUAAAUCAAGAUCUGCAAAUGAAGAACCCUAAAUCAAGAACUGAGAGGCGGCGGCGGAGACGGAGAACGGCGGCGGUGGGGGCUCCCAACCGUCCACCGACAAAGGAGAGGCGACGGCGGCACAGCAGGGGCUGUAGUCUUGAGGCGGCGGCGGAUCUGUGUGGCCGGAGCUCUGGAGAGUCAGCGGCGCCGCUCGUCGUUGAGAGAGAGAGAUGGGGGAGGGGGCGGCGGUGACGGAAAUGGCGAAGGGGAAGGGGAAUUGACGGAAAGGGGAAAUGGAAGGUUGACCGUCGAGAAGAGAGGGGCUUCGAACCGUCCACCGACGAAGGAGAGACGGCGGCGGCACAGCAGGGGCUGUAGUCUUGAGGCGGCGCCGGUAACGAAGGUCUCCGACACGUCUACAGCACCGACACGUCUUCUUCCACUUCGUCUUCAGAUCUGCAAAUCAAAAACCCUAGGUUGAUUUUGAUUUUGAUUUUAGAUCUAGGGGAAGAAGUUGAGAAGAAAGGAGGGAGAAGAAGAUACGCCAGCCUCGCCGCGCCGGAGGCGGCGAGAGCCGGCGACAUUCGCCGGAGAGCAACAGAGAGUGAGACUGUGAGAGACGCAGAGAGAGGGAAUGAAAGAAGGGAGAGAGCAGAGAUGAAGAAGAAAAGAAAAGUGGGCACGCAGAGAGAGGGAAUGAAAUUAGGGUGUAUAUCCUCUUUAAUUAAGUAGCUAAUUAUUUUAAUUACAACCCUAAUUAUUUCCAUUUUAAGACUGAGCCUAUUGGGCUGGGACGUCCCGAAAAGGAAAACGAGCCUAUUGGGCUGGGACGGAGGG
This 1136-nucleotide long non-coding RNA is filed under the name Salvia miltiorrhiza (redroot sage). RNAcentral's name for it is "long non-coding RNA (SMIL_LNC012754)". Lineage: Eukaryota; Viridiplantae; Streptophyta; Magnoliopsida; Lamiales; Lamiaceae. The record is from RNAcentral.